This 468-nucleotide ribosomal RNA is filed under the name uncultured bacterium. RNAcentral's name for it is "partial 16S ribosomal RNA". It matches the Rfam family "Bacterial small subunit ribosomal RNA", at positions 28 to 507 of the family's 1533-position model. The record is from RNAcentral.
GAUGAACGCUGGCGGCGUGCUUAACACAUGCAAGUCGAACGGAAAGGCCCAAGCUUGCUUUGGUACUCGAGUGGCGAACGGGUGAGUAACACGUGGGUGAUCUGCCCUGCACUUCGGGAUAAGCCUGGGAAACUGGGUCUAAUACCGGAUAGGACCACUUCUUGGAUGUUGUGGUGGAAAGUUUUCUCGGUGUGGGAUGAGCUCGCGGCCUAUCAGCUUGUUGGUGGGGUAAUGGCCUACCAAGGCGUCGACGGGUAGCCGGCAUGAGAGUGUGUACGGCCACAUUGGGACUGAGAGACGGCCCAGAGUCCUAAGGGAGGCAGGAGUGGGGAAUAUUGCACAAUGGGCGCAAGCCUGAUGCAGCGACGCCGCGUGGGGGAUGAGGGCCUUCGGGUUGUAAGAUCCUUUCGCUAGGGACGAAGCGUUUUUGUGACGGUACCUGGAGAAGAAGCACCGGCUAACUACGUG